GCCUUCAUGGUGUAGUUGUCAGUACGCUCGACGUGUAACCGAGAGGUCCAUGGUUCGAUUCCUGGCGAAGGCG
RNAcentral lists this transfer RNA (73 nucleotides) under Stegodyphus mimosarum. It matches the Rfam family "tRNA". From Rfam's summary of the family: Transfer RNA (tRNA) molecules are approximately 80 nucleotides in length. Their secondary structure includes four short double-helical elements and three loops (D, anti-codon, and T loops). Lineage: Eukaryota; Metazoa; Arthropoda; Arachnida; Araneae; Eresidae. The record is from Rfam by way of RNAcentral.